UUCACCUCCUUCAAAAGUGCAACAUGGACUUUAUGAGUUUAGAUUUGGAUACAUAAGUGUAUUUUUAAUCCGACAAGAAGCAAAAGAGAUUUGUGAAGUUUUGCUUAGCAAGAGUGAGCAGGGCAUGAUAAAAAAUAAAAUUGCUGGAGGACAGAGAACAACACAAGAAUUUGAUUUUCAAACUCCCUUAAUCAAAAUAACAGGAUAAAAUGAAAGCCAAAUACACUUGGAAACAAUUACUCUUUUCCUUGCGGGGAAAAGGAAGAUUUGCCUAAAAAGAAGAAAAACCAACCAAAGCUUCAAGAAAUUGCCUGUGGGGAUAAAGAGAUAAAGAAAGAAGAUAUACCGAUUGUGUCUUUGUGGAAGGAAAAGAUAAUACCUGUAUAAUUCUAAAGUACGCUUGAAAACAGUGAGGAGACAGAGGUAAACACAAUCUAGGUGUCUUCUAUAUACACGUACCAGAAGGAACAGCCAAAAAUGCUUUACCUUCAGAAAGUUAGUUAAUUAAAUAAGGCUCUAAAAGAAAAUUGAAAUAGAAAUACGCUUUUUUCACCAAGCUAAUAUAGCCAAUAGAGAAUUAGAAAAUAUUUCACAUAAGCUCUCCCAUGGAAAAAAAAAUUGAUCUUCAUGGAAUUUCUUUUAAAUGCACACUGCUACAGCAAGCUCUGGUGAGAAUGUGACAUGGAUUAGAAAAUGCUUAGAAGCUAUGUCUCUUGAAACAUUUAAAAUAGGAGUAGAUGUAGAACACAGAGUUGGAAAGCUUAGUGAAAGAAGAAUUCCUGCCUUGGCUGAAAUAUUUUCUGGAUGACCUGAGAUGUCUUCUCCCUUCUAAGAAAAUGACAAAAUAAAGUUGUUUCUGGUGUGUACAGUAUUUUUAAUGCACACACUAAUGGUCUAUAGACCUAGAGUCAGAGUACAUUUCUAAAACAUUCUAGCUGACAUGCAAAGUACUUUAACAGCAAAACCCAAAGGAAUGUGGUGUUACCACUGUUAAAAUAUAUGCAGAGAUCUUUUCUUUGAGCAUCCCUGCCUCUGAGGUGGUGCCAGGGCAGUUUGACAGAAAGGUCACCUUUGCAAAAUACCGUGUGCCAGGCACAUAAAAUCUGUCUUUAUGUAGUUGGAUUAUAAACUUACAAAAAACUGCAGUUAUCUUGUGUCCACUUCUCAGGAACCUCUACCACUGAUACUAAAUGCAAUGGCUUCCCUUCUUCAGAACUGGGGACUUUUUCAGAUACACAUUUUUUUUUAUUUAAAAAAAAAGCAAGAAAGAAGUCUGAAGUCAUAACCUUGCCA
Long non-coding RNA from Numida meleagris (helmeted guineafowl), 1293 nucleotides. RefSeq lists it as uncharacterized. The record is from RefSeq and is a predicted model, not a curated record. The transcript has 3 exons. Lineage: Eukaryota; Metazoa; Chordata; Aves; Galliformes; Numididae.